Molecule: ribosomal RNA, 490 nt
Filed under: uncultured bacterium
Lineage: Bacteria
Description: partial 16S ribosomal RNA
Rfam family: Bacterial small subunit ribosomal RNA
Source: RNAcentral
GUUGAACGCUGGCGGCAUGCCUAACACAUGCAAGUCGAACGGUAACAGGAAACGGUUUGCUCUUUCGCUGACGAGGGGCGGGCGGGUGUGUAAUGUCUGGAAAACUGCCUUAUGAAUGGGGUUAACUACUGGAAACGGUACCUAAUACGGCAUAUCUUUGCAAGAGCAAAGAGGGGGAGCGUCAGGCGUCUUUCCUUUAGAUUUUCCCAGAUUGGAUUCGCUAGUAGGUGGGGUAACGGCUCACCUAGGCGACGAUCCAUAGCUGGUCUGAGAGGUUGACCAGCCACACUGGAACUGAGACACGGUCCAGACUCCUACGGGAGGCAGCAGUGGGGAAUCUUGCACAAUGGGCGAAAGCCUGAUGCAGCAAUGCCGCGUGUAUGAAGAAGGCCUUCGGGUUGUAAAGCACUUUUAGCGGGGAGGAAGGGAGUAAAGUUAAUCCAUGCGCUCAUUGACGUUACCCGAAGAAGAAGCCCCGGCUAACUACGUG